GGGUGCGUAGCUCAGCGGUAGAGCGCCUGCCUUACAAGCAGGAUGUCGGCGGUUCGAAACCGUCCGCGCCCACC
This 74-nucleotide transfer RNA is filed under the name Streptomyces longisporus. RNAcentral's name for it is "tRNA-Val". It matches the Rfam family "tRNA". Rfam says of the family: Transfer RNA (tRNA) molecules are approximately 80 nucleotides in length. The record is from RNAcentral. RNAcentral also lists the same sequence under 1 other name. Lineage: Bacteria; Bacillati; Actinomycetota; Actinomycetes; Kitasatosporales; Streptomycetaceae.